ACUCAGUUUAUCUUUGUUAAAAACUAAAUGACUCAUUGGAAACGCAUCGUAGAGCAACUGUGUGGUUUCCUUUACUCACAGAACUACCAGUUAGAUCUGUGGGAAAAGACUACACGACCGAG
This is a small nucleolar RNA of Capra hircus (goat), 122 nucleotides long. NCBI's taxonomy places the organism in Eukaryota, Metazoa, Chordata, Mammalia, Artiodactyla, Bovidae. The record is from Ensembl.